UACGUAGGGAGCGAGCGUUGUCCGGAUUUAUUGGGCGUAAAGCGCGCGUAGGCGGUUUGGUAAGCCGGGUGUGAAACCCUCGAGCUCAACUCGGGGCGGCCACUCGGAACUGCUAUGACUUGAGUCUGGUAGGGGAACACGGAAUACCUGGUGUAGCGGUGAAAUGCUUAGAUAUCAGGUGGAACACCAGUGGCGAAGGCGGUGUUCUGGGCCAGUACUGACGCUGAGACGCGAAAGCGUGGGGAGCGAACAGG
Molecule: ribosomal RNA, 254 nt
Filed under: uncultured bacterium
Lineage: Bacteria
Description: partial 16S ribosomal RNA
Rfam family: Bacterial small subunit ribosomal RNA
Source: RNAcentral